This 305-nucleotide ribosomal RNA is filed under the name uncultured bacterium. RNAcentral describes it as "bacterial SSU rRNA". It matches the Rfam family "Bacterial small subunit ribosomal RNA", at positions 335 to 642 of the family's 1533-position model. The record is from RNAcentral.
AGGCCUACGGGAGGCAGCAGUGGGGAAUAUUGCACAAUGGGGGAAACCCUGAUGCAGCGACGCCGCGUGAGUGAAGAAGUAUCUCGGUACGUAAAGCUCUAUCAGCAGGGAAGAAAAAAAGUCUUUGGCUUUGGACGGUACCUGACUAAGAAGCCCCGGCUAACUACGUGCCAGCAGCCGCGGUAAUACGUAGGGGGCAAGCGUUAUCCGGAUUUACUAGGUGUAAAGGGAGCGUAGACGGCGAUGCAAGUCUGAAGUGAAAGGCGGGGGCCCAACCCCUGGACUGCUUUGGAAACUGUAUGGCU